This 119-nucleotide ribosomal RNA is filed under the name Medicago truncatula (barrel medic). The record is from RNAcentral. Lineage: Eukaryota; Viridiplantae; Streptophyta; Magnoliopsida; Fabales; Fabaceae.
UUGGACGAUCAAACCAGCAUUAAUACAUCGAAUCUCAUCAGAACUUCACAGUUAAGCGUGUUUGGACAAGAAUAAUAAUAAGAUGAAUGACCUCUUGAAAAGUCAUUCUGUUGCACAUC